Molecule: ribosomal RNA, 748 nt
Filed under: uncultured Peptoniphilus sp.
Lineage: Bacteria; Bacillati; Bacillota; Tissierellia; Tissierellales; Peptoniphilaceae
Description: bacterial SSU rRNA
Rfam family: Bacterial small subunit ribosomal RNA
Source: RNAcentral
GACGAACGCUGACGGCGCGCUUAACACAUGCAAGUCGAGCGAUGAAAUUUCGACAGAUCCCUUCGGGGUGAAGAUGAAAUGGAUUAGCGGCGGACGGGUGAGUAACACGUGAGUAACCUGCCUUAGACAUUGGGAUAGCCUCGGGAAACCGGGAUUAAUACCAAAUGAAAUCACAUAUGCACAUGCAUAAAUGAUCAAAGCUCCGGCGGUCUAAGAUGGACUCGCGUCCCAUUAGCUAGUUGGUGAGGUAACGGCCCACCAAGGCGACGAUGGGUAGCCGGCCUGAGAGGGUGAACGGCCACAUUGGAACUGAGAAACGGUCCAAACUCCUACGGGAGGCAGCAGUGGGGAAUAUUGCACAAUGGAGGGAACUCUGAUGCAGCGACGCCGCGUGAACGAAGAAGGCUUUCGAGUCGUAAAGUUCUUUUAUAUGGGAAGAUAAUGACGGUACCAUAAGAAAAAGCCCCGGCUAACUACGUGCCAGCAGCCGCGGUAAUACGUAGGGGGCUAGCGUUGUCCGGAAUCACUGGGCGUAAAGGGUUCGCAGGCGGAAAUGCAAGUCAGGUGUAAAAGGCAGUAGCUUAACUACUGUAAGCAUUUGAAACUGCAUAUCUUGAGAAGAGUAGAGGUAAGUGGAAUUUUUAGUGUAGCGGUGAAAUGCGUAGAUAUUAAAAAGAAUACCGGUGGCGAAGGCGACUUACUGGGCUCAUUCUGACGCUGAGGAACGAAAGCGUGGGUAGCAAACAGG